AGAUUGAACGCUGGCGGCAUGCCUUACACAUGCAAGUCGAACGGCAGCACGGGGGCAACCCUGGUGGCGAGUGGCGAACGGGUGAGUAACAUAUCGGAACGUGCCCUGGAGUGGGGGAUAACUAGUCGAAAGACUAGCUAAUACCGCAUACGAUCUACGGAUGAAAGUGGGGGAUCGCAAGACCUCAUGCUCGUGGAGCGGCCGAUAUCUGAUUAGCUAGUUGGUGGGGUAAAGCCUACCAAGGCAUCGAUCAGUAGCUGGUCUGAGAGGACGACCAGCCACACUGGGACUGAGACACGGCCCAGACUCCGUACGGGAGCAGCAGUGGGGAAUUUGGACAAGUGGGCGCAAGCCUGACUCCAGCAAUGCCGCGUGAGUGAAGAAC
This 385-nucleotide ribosomal RNA is filed under the name uncultured soil bacterium. RNAcentral describes it as "bacterial SSU rRNA". It matches the Rfam family "Bacterial small subunit ribosomal RNA", at positions 26 to 413 of the family's 1533-position model. The record is from RNAcentral.